RNAcentral lists this ribosomal RNA (484 nucleotides) under uncultured bacterium. Its description in RNAcentral is "partial 16S ribosomal RNA". It matches the Rfam family "Bacterial small subunit ribosomal RNA", at positions 29 to 507 of the family's 1533-position model. The record is from RNAcentral.
AUCGAACGCUGGCGGCAGGCCUAACACAUGCAAGUCGAGCGGACGAAGCGAGCUUGCUCCUGGAUUCAGCGGCGGACGGGUGAGUCAUGCCUAGGAAUCUGCCUGGAAGUGGGGGAUCACGUCCGGAAACGGGCGCUAAUCCCGCAUGCGUCCUGAGGGCGCCAGUGGGGGAUCUUCCGACCUCACGCUAUCAGAUGAGCCUUAGUCGGAUUACCUAGUUGGUGGGGUAAAGGCCUUCCAAGGCGACGAUCCGUACCUGGUCUGAGAGGAUGAUCAGUCAGACGGGAACUGAGACACGGUACAGACUCCGACGGGAGGAAGCAGUGGGGAAUAUUGGACGAUGGGCGAGAGCCUGAUCUAGCCAAGCCGCGGGUGUGAAGAAGGUCUUCGGAUGGGAGAGCACUGUAAGUUGGGAGGAAGGACAGUAAUUUAAUACCGGGCGGUAUUGACGUUACCAACAGAAGAAGCACCGGCUAACUUCGUG